Molecule: long non-coding RNA, 2970 nt
Organism: Apis laboriosa (Himalayan honeybee)
Lineage: Eukaryota; Metazoa; Arthropoda; Insecta; Hymenoptera; Apidae
Exons: 3
Source: RefSeq, a predicted model, not a curated record
CUCGUACGAAAUACUGGACGAAAUAAUGAUGCCGUGAAAUGAGGUACGAUCUCUGGCGACUCCCAGAAAUCUUGUGUGUGUACAAAUUAACGAUGGAAUUCGAUUACGUGAGUACAUAUACAUUUAAAGUUGAAGAUGAACGGGAGAUUGAUGGAAAUGACGUUCGCAUCAUUCGAAAUACUUCGCGCUUACAGUGUUAAAUUAUGUAGAUAAUACAUUUGUCAUAUUAUUAUUGUUGUUCUUUGCCAUUUAUGGAGCAGUGUUUAAAUACAUAAUUUAAAAUUGAUACGCUGAUUUGGAAGCAUAAAUCCUGUUAUUGUUAAUAACACGUUACAAAUGGCGUGGAGAUAUUAUAAUUAUCUAUGAUGAAGAUCGCGUGUGUCAUAAAAAUCUAGGAAGAAAUGAAACUUAGCCCGGAAUCUUAAUUAAACCAUCACUGGUGUGAAAAUAAUUGGCGAAUUUACUAUUCCUUUGAUGUCAGAUAACAUAGAUUUCUCCUAAUUAAGCUUGACUUACGCCAACGAGAUUUGUCCAUCGAUUCCAUAAGACUUAGAAUUAAAACUGAUACUUUCAAAAUGAUACGAAACAAAGCAUUUCGUACAAUAAAACAAUAAAAAUUGAAAAAAAAUUGUAUAAACUAACGGUUAAAUUUAAUAAUUCUUUUAUAUGUUAAUAUUCAGCAUUAUAUUCUUGAACAGAAACAAAAUUCAAAAAUUCUUAAAAAAAAUGUAUGAGAAAAAAAUGUUUUAUAAAAACAUAUCACAGUAUACUAUAUAUUCAAUAUGAUGUGAAUUCACUAUUGGAUUUCAAUCUAUAAGAGAAGAUCUAUUGAGAAACGUUGAUCCGUAAUACACAAUUUUCUAUAACAUUGUAUAUCAAAUGGAAAAUAUAAAUUCUCUUUUAAUCUUUUCAUAUAUUUCAAAUUUUAAUAUUUGACAAAAAUAACGAGUUAACUAGCUACAAUGCAUCACAUAUUUUCCAUUUACUAAAUCAAACAAUUCCCAUUUGAAAAACGAUUCGAAUCCAAGUCAACGAUCGAUGAAGGAAAACAACUCAGGGGUCACCGUCCGUUCGUAUCAAAAGAAGGAUACUUCCAGGAUCUUCUCUAGAUAGGACAGGCGUGCACAGGCAGAGUAUGUGUCGUGGCCGAUAAUUAUCGACGAGGCUGAUCGUGCGUGCAGCCAGAAAAAUGGCGAGCAACGGGACAGGUCGGUCGGCGACUACUGCCUAGACCGCGGUCUCCUGUCGAUGUCGAAUGAAGAUGUCCCGGCUACGUUCUCCCUUGCCUAUGUACCAGCUGGAAUAAGUGUGGGUAAUUUGCUCGACUGGCUAGACCACUUGUUUUGCGGAGGGAACCGAUGCCGUUUAAGAGACCGUGCCACCGAGCAAAUCCUCGUUCACGUAUGUGUUACGUAAUCCGUGUGCACGAUUGUUGUGUUGAAUGAAAAUGAAUCCGUGAGAAAUGGAUUUAUGAUUUUGGAAGAUAGAAUAAUUCAUUUUUGAUAUAUUAUGUUAUUUAAUGAUUUUUUUAUUUUAAAUUUUGUCUUAUUCUUUUUUGUUAAGUUUAAACGAUUUGAGAUAAUAGUUGUAUAUUUUUGAAGUAUUCUGCGAGGUAAUAGGCGUAUAUUCUUUUAUUUUUUUAGUUUUUCUUAUAUAAAGUUAUGUAAAAAUCAUGGAAGAAUGUAGAGAAAGUUUGCACUUAUAUUAAUAAUAAUGAUAUUGAAAUUUGAUCUCAAGAGUUAAAAAAGAUAUGAUCAUGUUUUGAUAAUAUUUUAUGAAAGAGAAUCUUGUUACAUCAUCAAUCAAUAGUGUUUUAUGUAUAAAAAGAAAGAAUACAAGAAUACAAGAUCAGUGAAAAAUAUUUGAGAAAUAGAUCAUUAAUGAAAUGUGUAAACUUUUAAUAGAAGUUGUUAUCGUGUCUUUAACUGAUUAAAAUUCUAGAUUUUCGAGAAUUUCAAAGUAGUCUAGUUUGUCUUGACAUGCAAAAAAUGUGAUUUUUAAUCAAACAUCUAAAACAUUCGAUAAGAGAUAUGACUCAAAUUUGUUUAAAAAAUAUAAAAAUAUAAAUAGUUGAAAGCUGAUUGCGUGAAACAUGCAAAGUGAAAAUAGGUGUCGAACACGAAAUAAACGAUUUGAAAUAAGAAUAAUAAAAUAUUUAAUUGAAAGGUUUAGAUUAGUCAGACACGAUAUCAAAGUUAAUUGGCAUGUAACUAUUUCAUGUUUAUAUAGAGCUUUAUACAUGUAUAAUAGAAUUUCUAUUUUAGUAAAGUAGAAUUGAAUUAAUAAUUGAAUUAUGCAUUAGAUCAUAAACUAAAAUUAACGUUUCUUUCUUUAAUUACAAGAAUUCUCUUAUUCGAAAAAAUUAUAGUAUUUUAUAUUAAUUUUGAUAUUAGAGGUUCCAUUAUUACUAAUUCGACUAUCAAGAUUAAAUUUUAAUACUUCAUAAAUUUUAUAAGUAGUUUGGAUCUCGAUUUCACCUACUUAUUCAACUUUUAUUGUACCUAGCAACCUAGAGCAAAGAAAUGAGAGAACGCAAAAUAUUCUUAUUCGACCUCUGACAACUCGCUCGGAACAUAGAGGCCAUACGUCAGGAAGACCGGUUAAUGGACACUAAAGUAACAACCGGCAGGUUUCCCUUUACUCUGCUAUGCGUUUAAACAACAAGGACCGGUAGCUAGAAUUAAUGAGGCACCAGUUUCCAGUAAUGUUAGUCGUGAUAGGAUCGGCGGAUCAAAAUGCAGAUUUGUACGGGUGAAAAGUCUGGCACCGGUUCGAUUGCUGUACACGUUCCAAUGUCUAAUAGUUUGGAUGCUACUAUGUCGCUAAGGUCAAGAUAUAUUCAGAGCUCACGAUGAAGUGUUUGAUAAAUAUUUUUUGAUCAGCCAUUGAAGAUAUUUUAUAAUAUAAAUAUUUAAUAAUUUUAGAUUUUUCAAAUUUUAUUUUUUUUAUAAAUGCAAGUAAUAUUGUGGA